This 518-nucleotide ribosomal RNA is filed under the name uncultured bacterium. Its description in RNAcentral is "bacterial SSU rRNA". It matches the Rfam family "Bacterial small subunit ribosomal RNA", at positions 1006 to 1524 of the family's 1533-position model. The record is from RNAcentral.
AAGUCACUUUCCCUUCGGGGCAUUGGAGACAGGUGGUGCAUGGUUGUCGUCAGCUCGUGUCGUGAGAUGUUGGGUUAAGUCCCGCAACGAGCGCAACCCCUAUUUCCAGUAGCCAGCAAGAAAGAUGGGAACUCUGGAGAGACUGCCCGGGAUAACUGGGAGGAAGGCGGGGAUGACGUCAAAUCAUCAUGCCCCUUAUGAUCAGGGCUACACACGUGCUACAAUGGCGUAAACAAAGGGAAGCGAGGUGGUGACACGAAGCAAAUCCGAAAAACAACGUCUCAGUUCGGAUUGUAGUCUGCAACUCGACUACAUGAAGCUGGAAUCGCUAGUAAUCGCGAAUCAGAAUGUCGCGGUGAAUACGUUCCCGGGUCUUGUACACACCGCCCGUCACACCAUGGGAGUCGGAAAUGCCCGAAGUCAGUGACCCAACCGAGAGGAGGGAGCUGCCGAAGGUGGAGCCGGUAACUGGGGUGAAGUCGUAACAAGGUAGCCGUAUCGGAAGGUGCGGUUGGAUC